Molecule: transfer RNA, 73 nt
Filed under: Pseudarcicella sp.
Lineage: Bacteria; Pseudomonadati; Bacteroidota; Cytophagia; Cytophagales; Flectobacillaceae
Description: tRNA-Phe
Rfam family: tRNA
About the family: Transfer RNA (tRNA) molecules are approximately 80 nucleotides in length. Their secondary structure includes four short double-helical elements and three loops (D, anti-codon, and T loops).
Source: RNAcentral
GGAGGAAUAGCUCAGUUGGUAGAGCAUCGGACUGAAAAUCCGUGUGUCGGCGGUUCGAGUCCGCCUUCUUCCA